AUGAACGCUGGCGGCGUGCCUAAUACAUGCAAGUCGAGCGAACAGACGAGGAGCUUGCUCCUCUGACGUUAGCGGCGGACGGGUGGGUAACACGUGGAUAACCUACCUAUAAGACUGGGAUAACUUCGGGAAACCGGAGCUAAUACCGGAUAAUAUAUUGAACCGCAUGGUUCAAUAGUGAAAGACGGUUUUGCUGUCACUUAUAGAUGGAUCCGCGCCGCAUUAGCUAGUUGGUAAGGUAACGGCUUACCAAGGCGACGAUGCGUAGCCGACCUGAGAGGGUGAUCGGCCACACUGGAACUGAGACACGGUCCAGACUCCUACGGGAGGCAGCAGUAGGGAAUCUUCCGCAAUGGGCGAAAGCCUGACGGAGCAACGCCGCGUGAGUGAUGAAGGUCUUCGGAUCGUAAAACUCUGUUAUUAGGAAGAACAAAUGUGUAAGUAACUAUGCACGUCUUGACGGUACCUAAUCAGAAAGCCACGGCUAACUACGUG
This 495-nucleotide ribosomal RNA is filed under the name uncultured bacterium. Its description in RNAcentral is "partial 16S ribosomal RNA". It matches the Rfam family "Bacterial small subunit ribosomal RNA", at positions 29 to 507 of the family's 1533-position model. The record is from RNAcentral.